Non-coding RNA from Vicugna pacos (alpaca), 2727 nucleotides. Lineage: Eukaryota; Metazoa; Chordata; Mammalia; Artiodactyla; Camelidae. The record is from RefSeq and is a predicted model, not a curated record.
UCUUGUCUGGUAGAGGGCAGCCGAAGCGGGCAGACUCGAGAGAGGUGCCUUGGGGGCAGAGGAGGGUUUGUUAUAGGCUUGAGCACAUGGCGUCUUGUGGUCUGAUCGCCUUUGCUGGGUUCUGGCUCCCUGGCUUCCCGGCUGUCUCAGCUCCAAUUUCUGACAUAAGCUGGGGUCCCCACCCUGGCCACCAAGGUGCCACCAUCUUUCGCCUUGGAGCCAAGCAAGUCCCAGCCCUGCAAAGGCACAAGCCUCCUUCCUUCCCCUCCCCCUCCCCAGCCCUGCACACCCCUUCCUGGCAUCCCCUUUUCUCGGACAGAGGCUGGGACCAGGUGAAUGAACAUCAGUUGUUUGUGUUCUUCAGAAGCCCAAAUAUCUGUCUAGAUGGGGCCCAGAUGUUGAGCAAACCCCUUGGGGUGGUGUAGAAGGAUUGUACUGGAGCAGGGGCUACCCCGUUGUGCGUUCCAUGGGGCCUGUCAUUUCUGGGAAGGAGCAGUUAUGUGGAGUGGGGUGCUUCUAGGAGUUUGAGUGGGUGUGGGAUUCUAAUGGAGGUGAAGGACUUUUUCUUGUCUGCCAUCCCAAUGUAUCUGUUCCCAAUGGCCCAAGAGUGCCCCUCCCCCACCCCAGCCUCUGAGAGGUAAGCAGGAAUCACAUGACUAGGGCUCACUCAACCCCUCACCCUGGGAGAAUCCCAGCUGGGGGCUGAGAUCCUUGGCUGGGGUAUGUAGCAGGGAGAAUGUAGGAACUGCCCAUUGCCCCCACAUCCUGUUACUCCCCUCGGUGGCUGGCUGGGAAGGGCUGUAUGGGAGGGGGUGGAGACAAUGCUUCCUCCCCAGGGCAGGGGGAAGGGUCCCUGACUUCCUGUCCUGAGAAGGCGACCCUGUUCCUCUGAUUUGCUCUUCUGGCCAGCAGGCAAGCUCCAACUUCUACCCAACUUACUGCUGUGAUGCUGGCUUGGCUCUUGUGGGGUCCUGGAUAGUGGACUCAUCUGGCCUGGACCCCACAGCUGUGCCAGCCCCACAGGGCCCAGUGUGAAGGCUGGGCAGCCACUAAUCUGUGGAGGUCAUCCCAAGACCACCGGAGACCACCUGCACAGAGAGCCCCUGUCCCUGUCACACCUCUCCCCCACCCCCAAAAAGGCUAAGGUCAAGGGGCACAUCCUUCCAGGCCCACCUCCCUGGUGCUGCCCUUGGCGGCCCCCACCUCAUCCCCUCCUGGGCACUGCUCCCUGCAAGCAUCCUGAAGGGGCACCUGCUGCUGCGUCCCCAGCUCUACUAGGACUGGCCUUCCUCAGUUUCUCCCCAGGGCCUGCAGGGUCUUUCUGGCUCUGGGCCCCUUCCCCAGCCUCCAGCCCCAGGAAGCCCCUCCUCCUCCUCCCCCACCCUCUGCCUGGGGAGCCACAUUCCUAGCAUAACUGAGACAGGUAUGUGUCCCUCCCUGUGCGCCACCUUUGGGUGAGGGAGACCUGCUGCUCUGGAGCAGCCUCUUCUGGAAGGGGACCCCUGCCCCUGCUUUGUCAGGGACGUGGCCUGGCCUCUUCCAGUGCCAGCUGCCCACACACCGUGAACCUGCCCAGGCUGGCAGCUGAGCGGGCAUCUCCUCCAGCCUUCGAACACUGUGCCCUGGCCUGGGCUCUGUCCACACACUCCCACCAGCCCCACCUCUUGAAGACUGGUCCUGGGGCCUCCCUGAAGCCUGUAGGAAGGAUGUAGGCCUGGGGCCCUUCCCUGGUCCUUUCCCUCCCCACUAGGAGCCAGGAGCAGAGAAAGGAAGUGUUGUCUGCCCUUUCUGGGCCUGGCACAGGGACAGGGUCAGAGUGAGUCUGGCAGUGGCCCAGCCUAGCCCUGCCCUGCCCAGCCCUGUAGCUAGGGGUCUUGGCACCCACACUCCUCGCCCUAGCCUGGUCCGGCUGAUUCCGGCAAGCACCCUCCCUUCCUCCCUGCCGAGCCAGCUGUCCAGGGCCUUCUGGAAGGCAGUCCUACAGCUCAGGCUGGGUCCCUGCCCCCCAAUCCCCACCCCCGCCUCUGCAGACACCCCCAGACAGGGACUGGCUCUCCACAGAGGUUGGGGGCAGGUGGAAGUCCAGGGGGAGGUUUCUGGGCUAGCUCCCUUAGAGCUGGGGGCACUCCCCAAUUCCUCUGGGCCUGCCCUACUUCCUCCACAUUCCUCCCUGUUGAGGUGGGAGGUGGUUUCUCCCUGUUCCUGUUUCCCUCUAGACUGUGGGUUCUCACUCCACCCCCUACAGACCUGCCCAUGCCCUGCCUGGCCCCUCCCCUAGGCAGGUCGGCCUAGAGGAGGCAGGUCCAGGCUGGAGGCUGCCCAGCCACCGGGGCUUUCUCUUCCUUCCAGCAGCUGGGGGUGGGGCAUCUGCCCAGGUUGGGUGUGACCCCUCGCUGCACUGUCUGCUCCCCAGCUGGGGGUCCCUGGUAGGAAGUCAGCAUGAAAACGGACUUGUACCGGCUUUGACUUGCCCAGGCCCACCCACCAUGUGCUGGCUUCCUCGCUGGGGCAUCCCUGGGGAAUGGGGGUGGGGAGUGGGCUUUGUUCCUGAAACCAAAGGGCUUUGGAUCCUGUCACUCCCUCUGGGAUGCGCUCCUUUUGGGCAGGAAUGAGCAGGUGGAAACAGCUCUUGGCUUUUUCCAGACCCCACCCCAUCCCCCUGCUCCCCACCCAGAGAAAAGCUCCAGCCUCCAUCCUCCCCUGCAGAUUGGAAAUGGAAAACAAAAA